GACGAACGCUGGCGGCGUGCUUAACACAUGCAAGUCGAACGGUAAGGCCCUUCGGGGUACACGAGUGGCGAACGGGUGAGUAACACGUGGGUGAUCUGCCCUGCACUUCGGGAUAAGCCUGGGAAACUGGGUCUAAUACCGGAUAGGACCACUGCCUGCAUGGGUGGUGGUGGAAAGCUUUUGCGGUGUGGGAUGGGCCCGCGGCCUAUCAGCUUGUUGGUGGGGUGGUGGCCUACCAAGGCGACGACGGGUAGCCGGUCUGAGAGGGUGACCGGCCACACGGGGACUGAGAUACGGCCCAGACUCCUACGGGAGGCAGCAGUGGGGAAUAUUGCACAAUGGGCGCAAGCCUGAUGCAGCGACGCCGCGUGAGGGAUGACGGCCUUCGGGUUGUAAACCUCUUUCAGUAGGGACGAAGCGCAAGUGACGGUACCUACAGAAGAAGGACCGGCCAACUACGUGCCAGCCGCCGCAGUAA
This 478-nucleotide ribosomal RNA is filed under the name uncultured bacterium. RNAcentral's name for it is "partial 16S ribosomal RNA". It matches the Rfam family "Bacterial small subunit ribosomal RNA", at positions 28 to 523 of the family's 1533-position model. The record is from RNAcentral.